RNAcentral lists this ribosomal RNA (483 nucleotides) under uncultured bacterium. RNAcentral describes it as "partial 16S ribosomal RNA". It matches the Rfam family "Bacterial small subunit ribosomal RNA", at positions 30 to 506 of the family's 1533-position model. The record is from RNAcentral.
AUUGAACGCUGGCGGCAGGCCUAACACAUGCAAGUCGAGCGGAUGAAGGGAGCUUGUUCCUGGAUUCCGCUGCGGACGGGUGAGUAAUGCCUAGGAAUCUGACUGGCCGUGGGGGAUAACGUCCGGACACGGGCGCUAAUCCCGCAUACGUUAUGAGGGAGAACGUGGGGGAUCUUCGGACCUCACGCUACCUGAUGAGCCUAGGUCGGAUUAGCUAGUGGGUGGGGUAAAGUCCUACCAGGGCGACGAUCCGUAACUGGUCUGCGAGGAUGAUCAGUCACAUGGAAACUGGGACACGGUCCGGAUCCUUAGGGGAGGCAGCAGUGGGGAACUUUGGACAAGGGGGAAAAGCCGGAUCCAGCCAUGCGGCGUGGGUGAAGAAGGUCUUCGGACUGUAAAGCACUUUAUGGUGGGAGAAAGAGCAGGAAGUUAACACCUCGCUGUUUGGAGGUAACCAACAGAAUAAGCACCGGCUAACUUCGG